RNAcentral lists this long non-coding RNA (4606 nucleotides) under Brassica napus (rape). RNAcentral describes it as "long non-coding RNA (BNAP_LNC009140)". Lineage: Eukaryota; Viridiplantae; Streptophyta; Magnoliopsida; Brassicales; Brassicaceae. The record is from RNAcentral.
UUCCACAUUCCUCCUCCUCCUCAUCGAUUGGGUCAGCGUUCAAAUCGAUUUUCAAUCCCCCAGUGCCUAAACCAAACCCUCCACCACCGCAAGAAGCAGCAACAUCCCCGCCAGAUGCUUCCACGGCCGCAUUAAAUGUGGGGGGAGGUAAGAAGCCAGAGUAACCACGGUCUCUAUGAGCCCGUAAGUGGCCGAAGACGGCUUUCCAAGAAAGAAAACUUCUCCCGCAAACGUUACAUUUAGGAGGACCUUCAGGUGGGUUGAUCAACUUAGGAGAACCUUUCUUCCUAGGCUUCUUUGCCGGCUCUUCUUCUCCAGCAGACACGGUGGCUUCAGAACCGGACGCGCCGGCCACAUCUGCCAAGUCGUCCAACAUAACCGUCCUUGGACGACGAGCCUUUUUCUUCUUAACUGUUCCACCACUUCCACCAACCUCUUGUUCCAUGUUGUCUUUUGUCACCGCCGCUUCUUGAGCGGCAGCAAUCAAUAAGUCAGCCGCAGCGACGGCUUUUUGACGGGUUACCUGAUCCACAUCACUAAGACUCAGUGCGGGAAGGGCGAGAACUAUUUCGCGCAUCUCCCCUUCUUCUUCUUCAUCGCUCCAGAGGUAAUCACUUUCAUCAGAAUUUUCAUUAAUUCUUUCCUCAGUGUUCACUUUUGUUUUCUCGGGAUCACUCAUGAUUUUGACUUUGUUGAGAGUAAUAAGUUUUGCUGAGACCGAAAUGGUGUUUAUAUAGUUUCUUUGAUCACAUGACGGUUAUGACCGUUACCGCAUCCUGUGUCUGAUGUCUAUAUCUCUCUAUUGGCCUCUCCCGCCUUUUCAUUUGAAGGUUGCGUCCGUUAGAUCCAGUUAAAAACCGAAAAUUGAUAUGAAAUGGUAAGCCAUAUAUAAAUUGGUUUCUUCAGUCGGUCGAAAUGAACCGGAAAUUGAGAACUGAAAUCAUAUACAUCAUUGAUUGUGCUAGUAUUGUUUGUGGGCCAUGUUCAUUACAUGGUCUGAAUUCGCUUAGCCACUACUUAAGAAUAUCAUGAUUUUAUUAUUAUUUUGACAUAAGAAUAUUAUGAAUUCUGGUAGGUUUUUUUUUUGUCAACUGAAUUCUGGUAGGUUGAAACUAGUUUUUUCCUGUAUAACUAUUUUUUUGCUACAUUUUGAUUCUAAAUUUUAGGCUAUGUACUUUAUUUUUAAUAUUAAAUCGGGUUGGUAUAUAUUAUAUAUUAUUCUUGAUUUUUAGUACAAUUUUGAUAAAAUCCUUAGAGUUUGUUGUUUUGGAAAAUCUGAUAUAAUAGCGUUCUAAACGAAUUCCAAUUGUUGACAAAAAAAAUACGAAUUCCAAUUUUAAAUUUUAAUUCAAGAAACUGGUGUUGUCAUUUGAAUUAUCGUUCCAUUGCAUUUUCUUCACACGAUGGCUUGUAUGUAUACCUGUAUUGUAUCUAUUUUUACAAAAUGUAUUUAAUUAUCUUCUACGUUUAUCUGUUUGAUUAGUGUACAAAAUAUUUUUUCGGCAAAUUCUCUAAAGUCGAAUGCCUACGAAAGUUACCACUUUACAGUUUACAUGCAUAAUUUAGAAUUUAAUGAGAGAUUAUGUUGAGAAGCGAGGCUCGUGUUCUUAUCAACCUUCGAAAUAAACCUUCUAGAUACUUCUCGAAUCCGUCAAUGCUCAUCUCGACCUCUUCAAGCUUAUUUUGUAGGUCAUCACGAGAGCAACAUAUCGAUGAACCCAAACUCUCCAACUCGUUCUUCGUCUCCUCAUGAUGAACCUUCUUUUUCUUUAGUACCGAAGACAACUUGCUCUUAAUGUUACUUUCUCGUCCCGACAAGAACUCCAAGAACGACUUCAACACCGACACGCUAACUGAAACUACUCGUCUCAUCGCAUUUAUAACUGCCGCAAGGUGUUCAUCUUGUUGGCCAUCACUUACCCCCGACGACGAUGAACAUGACUCUCCAUUGAAUUUCUUCAAGGAUCCAAGAACCUUCUUAGUUUCUUUUCUCAUGUUCUUUCUAAAUCUGACAUAGCCAGCGACAGCGACAUCGAGUUGAUCAGCUCCUCCUCUGGCUACUUUCUUGCGUCUGACACAUGACUGAACACCACGAACAUGUUCGUGAGUCUCCACCAUGAGGUCUCUAGAGAUAUUGCAUAUAUCCAUUAGCCUUAAAGACCCAUCGAGCAUCUCCUCCAUAAACUCUGAUACAUCCGACGACAUAACACGCUGAGUCGAACCCAUUUUAAGAAACUCCUCCGUACGAUUAUAGAGCUCCUCCAAACCAGCCAAUGCCGUCAAGAUUGAUUCUGAAGAACCCGGCGUGGUGUUAAUCGCUUUAACCUUGUUAAGAGCUUCCUCGAUCCCUGCCGUGCUCGGAUGUGAUCUUGAAGGUAAACUGAUGGAUCUUAGUUGUUUCUUGAUAGUCAUAUUCAACACUUUUUUCCUCUCCUUUUUGUGUUUUUUUUAUAAAGGUGUUUUGAGUUUUUUUUUCCCUUUCUUUGAUCGAUCUGAUUUAUCCAAUUCGAUGUACACAUGCAUAUUUAUACAACCAACAAUAAUUGAAUUGUUAAAUUUUAUUGGUCCGAUUAUCACUGGCAAAUCUGUGACUUUCUGAGCUGUCGGGUUAUUAUAUUGGUCAAAUUAUUUGGCCACAGAGUAAAGCCUGAUGAGUCAUCGUUUGUGGUGUCUCUGGUUUCGCCACAUUAUCAAUACACAUUUUUUGUUAUAUUUAAAUUUAAAAGUAUCGACGGUCAUAAAGUUAUCUCGGUAGGUUACUAGAUCCAGAUCUUCCUCAACCUUAUAUUAUCCAAUCAUAUUCAAGAAGGUUGCUUACUACGAAGAGAUUUUUGUACAGGGAAAUAAAAUAAUGUUUUUAUAUAAGUUCCUCUGCAUGGCUUCUCACAUUAUGACACGUCCAAGAGGAUCACGGGUUUUGAGUUUAUUUACUUGCGUGAUUUCACACACUUUUUCCUGUAAUCUGAUUGACUAACGUGUAUAUUUAUUAGAAACGAAGAACAUUUGAUGAUCAUAUCGCUUAGCAUGUCUGACUUCGUAUAGACGCAUAUAUUUUUGAAAAAUAAUUUAAAAUUGAAUCAUCAUAUUUUAUAGUUGACACAAUUAAAAUAGACUUCUCAACUAAAAGAUGUUUUUUUGACAAGCGAGACGGUAUCUUUAAAUUGACCAACAAUAGUAAAUCUUCCAGCAAUGGUUACUCUCUGAGACUACUAUUGAUUUGUAUUAUUACACGUGUAUAAACGCUAUGCUUAAUUUGUAGAUUCAUAUCACAAAAUAUCCAUAUCAUGGAUUUGCCCCACGUAUAUUGUCCCUUGCGCCAGGUACACGUGUAAAAUGCCUAACAUUUUUAGUUGAACUGUGUUUUGCUUUUAGGUGUGUGGGCACCAAUUAUUCCAUGUUCCAUCACGCUAUGCUAAUGUUAUUAUUUAUGUUCAAAAGUUCACUUUCGUCGAAAUAAAAAAAAUGAAACUAACAUUCACUCCACAAGUUUGUUCCAUUUCUUUCUUAUAAAAAGAAUAUUCCAAAUAUAUUCCAUCUCCACUUUAUCAUUAAUUAUUAAUAGAAACCUUAUAUUUUUUUAUAUUUACCUAUUUUACCUAACUAUUUUGUUUUAACAAUAAUCCAACAUAAUCAUUAUUUAAUAUUUUCAUAUAAUAAAUUUAUUACAUAACAUGAAUAAACAAACAUAAAACAUCAUAAUUUGUAUAAAAAAACACCAUAUAUAACUUUAUAAUUGAUUAACAAAAGUAUUUAGAGUAAGAAAUGAGUUUAUUUAUCUUUGAUUCUUUUAAAACGAUAAAAAAAAAAAACAAAACAAAACAUGCCUACAAAUGCUAUAAAGAAUUAAGUCUCCGACUCUCGCGUAUUGAACAAUCCUUUCCAGUGCUGCAAUUUUUAAAUAUUACAAUACUACAACAAUGGAUUUGCAAACGAGAUAAUUUAAGAAGCAACAAUACGAAUAAUGUGGUUCUUAAAAAAAAAAUCCAUACGAAUGUAGUUAUUGUGUACUUCAACGAAACAAACCGAAGAAAACAAUGUGGACAAGGAAGAAUAAUGUUUGCAUGCAGAACCUUAAAUUAAGCAAGAAAAUAGAAAAUUCAAAUGUUUUAGGUCACGCAGAGCCUUCACUCGGCUUUGUCCUCUUUUGCAUCUUCUUCAUCUUGUGGUGGUGACCUGUUGAGAUCAAACUUUGGAGUAGUAGUUCCACAUUCCUCCUCCUCCUCAUCGAUUGGGUCAGCGUUCAAAUCGAUUUUCAAUCCCCCAGUGCCUAAACCAAACCCUCCACCACCGCAAGAAGCAGCAACAUCCCCGCCAGAUGCUUCCACGGCCGCAUUAAAUGUGGGGGGAGGUAAGAAGCCAGAGUAACCACGGUCUCUAUGAGCCCGUAAGUGGCCGAAGACGGCUUUCCAAGAAAGAAAACUUCUCCCGCAAACGUUACAUUUAGGAGGACCUUCAGGUGGGUUGAUCAACUUAGGAGAACCUUUCUUCCUAGGCUUCUUUGCCGGCUCUUCUUCUCCAGCAGACACGGUGGCUUCAGAACCGGACGCGCCGGCCACAUCUGCCAAGUCGUCCAACAUAACCGUCCUUGGACGACGAGCCUUUUUCU